RNAcentral lists this long non-coding RNA (342 nucleotides) under Vigna radiata. Its description in RNAcentral is "long non-coding RNA (VRAD_LNC013999)". Lineage: Eukaryota; Viridiplantae; Streptophyta; Magnoliopsida; Fabales; Fabaceae. The record is from RNAcentral.
UGUAUUUGCUUCCGAGGGCAUUGCAUUAUUGGUUACUAGGGGAGGCUAGGGAUAGCAAGCCGGUAAUUAAUAAUAGGCUCUUUUCACCAAGGGAUUGGGUUAAGGGUAAACUAGAAAGUUUGCAUGGCAAUUAGAUAAAUAAGUGAAGUAAAUAAGAAGAGUAGAUAUAUGAGAGUGGAUAAGAUCAAAUUGUAAACCCCAACAACACCAUUCAUCCAUAGUUUCUCAAAACCAAUUGAAUCAACUGCAUUGCAUGUUUACUUUUGUUCUUUGCAUAUAACCACCAAAUUUAUUCUCCUCUCAAGUCUUACAAGAUUUGUUUACAUGAAAGUUAAGGCCUAA